ACAUCCUUCAACCUUUCUUAGUUUGUUAACCAAGAAAGGCUUGGACUUUGGGGGUUUUUCAUUGCUGGCCUCUGUUGAAGCCAGCUCCUCCUAAAUGAAUUAGUAGGGUCUGCUUUGCUGAUCCUUGACGUGAUAAGAUGUUUCUACGUCUUGGGUCUUGCACUUUAGACCUCGCUUCUAACCAUGUUGCGUUAUGAA
This 198-nucleotide unclassified non-coding RNA is filed under the name uncultured Russula. Its description in RNAcentral is "sequence contains ITS2". The record is from RNAcentral. Lineage: Eukaryota; Fungi; Basidiomycota; Agaricomycetes; Russulales; Russulaceae.